RNAcentral lists this unclassified non-coding RNA (356 nucleotides) under soil metagenome. Its description in RNAcentral is "partial contains 5.8S ribosomal RNA, internal transcribed spacer 2, and large subunit ribosomal RNA". The stretch from base 1 to 119 matches the Rfam family "5.8S ribosomal RNA", at positions 35 to 154 of the family's 154-position model. The record is from RNAcentral.
GAUGAAGAACGUAGCGAAAUGCGAUAAGUAAUGCGAAUUGCAGAAUCCGUGAGUCAUCGAAUCUUUGAACGCACAUUGCGCCCGCUGGUAUUCCGGCGGGCAUGCCUGUUCGAGCGUCAUUUCAACCCUCAAGCUCUCCGGAGUUUGGUGUUGGGGCGCCUGGGGCUUUUCGACCUCAGGGCCCUCAAGUCCAUCGGCGGGACCGCCAGGACACUGAGCGCAGUAGUAUUAUUUCGCUCGGUAGGAUCUUCCACGGCGGGUCGAUCUGGCCGCUAAACCCCCCAAUUCUCACCAAAGGUUGACCUCGGAUCAGGUAGGAAUACCCGCUGAACUUAAGCAUAUCAAUAAGCGGAGGA